UGGCGAUUAAAAAUUAAUUAGGCUUCUAAAGUCUAACAAUGAUGCAUACGGAAAAUCAAUGGUUUAAAUUUCUUAAUAUGAGCCA
Small nucleolar RNA from Dendrobium catenatum, 85 nucleotides. Lineage: Eukaryota; Viridiplantae; Streptophyta; Magnoliopsida; Asparagales; Orchidaceae. The record is from RefSeq and is a predicted model, not a curated record.